UGGGAAACAGGUUAAUAUUCCUGUACUUGGUGUUACUGCGAAGGGGGGACGGAGAAGGCUAUGUUAGCCGGGGGACGGUGGUCUCGGUUUAAGCAUGUAGGCUGGUUAUCCAGGCAAAUCCGGAUAAUCAAGGCUGAGGUGUGAUGACGAGGCACUACGGUGCUGAAGUAACAAAUGCCCUGCUUCCAGGAAAAGCCUCUAAGCAUCAGGUAACAUCAAAUCGUACCCCAAACCG
This 235-nucleotide ribosomal RNA is filed under the name Klebsiella pneumoniae. RNAcentral describes it as "partial 23S ribosomal RNA". It matches the Rfam family "Bacterial large subunit ribosomal RNA", at positions 1419 to 1656 of the family's 2925-position model. Lineage: Bacteria; Pseudomonadati; Pseudomonadota; Gammaproteobacteria; Enterobacterales; Enterobacteriaceae. The record is from RNAcentral.